GAUUUUGGGGCUGUGUUUCACAUGAAAAGAAAUACCUCAAGGAUUCCUGACAUAAUUUAGGAAUAAACAAGUCUCUGCUAUGCAGAAGAUCAGGGUGUCAGAUCACCAAUGGAAACCAUGAUUACUAAUAAGUGUUCUGCUGCUUUGACAAGAUUCGAUGGAUAAAAGCCUGGACACAUCUAAGUUCUGUAGAAAUACUGUCACUAAUUUAAAGUAUGUAAUAACCUUGAAAUACUUUGUUUGCUUGAGGGAUCUAACUACAUAGUAGUAAUUCUGAAUUAUGAACUUGGAUUCUGAAUUAUUAUUUUUGAAAUGAAGGUGUAGUCAGGAGGUGAAAGCAGGGUUUUAUUCUGCAAACUGGGAAGCAGGAGGCUACAUUCAGCUGUACUGCUCACCGUGGUUUAUGAGUUGUAUGUGAUCCAGAAGACCUGUUCAGUGCAUCUGAGAUGGGAAGCGUGAAGUGCAGCAUCAGCAGAAGGCGGUACAUGAUUUUUGCAAUUUCUCUGGAAAUCCAGAACUUGACUGUUAUCUCAACAUAACAACAGUUCCCAAGCACAAUGGUACUGCAGGUACUCCAGGCUGGAAAUGUCUGCAGCCAAAUUUUCCAUUGCUCUUCCUGCCGAGGUGUGAUUGUACUUUUCCAGUCAGCAUAGACAAGGCUGGGUCUAUCUGUGCUGCAUAACUACUGUCUCUGGAAGGAAUAAGGACUCUGAUACUUUGGCAUUGUGCCACCCGCUGUAUGACCACCUGCUGAGAUGAGAUGAAGGAACAAAUCUCUGAAUUGUAUUUUAGGCCAUGGACUUUGACUUUACUGCCUGCAUAGAAUGUUAAUUUCACUUCUAUUAUCAAGCUACAGACAGGGAAGGAUGGGAGAGAUCAGAAAUUCCACCUGUACAAAAGGUUCUAACAUAGAGAACAGAAAAAGAGCAAGGAAAUGACUGAUCAAGCAGGAAUUUUACUUGACAGACACCAGUUAUCAUACAAAUAAAAGAAACCUGGGCAAAGAGACAACAUGUAACCACCUUAACUGUUCCCUCAUUUAUAAUACCUGCUCUCCAGACAAGAACAUCCAUUUCCUUAAUCUCUGGACACCCCCACUGACUUAGACUCUGUAACUUACAGCUUCUACUAGGUACAUCAAUAAUGGUGGAGGAUAUUCAGGAGAUUUAGAAGCACCUUUAAUGUAUGUAUUUCUAUUCUGUUAACUAGCAUACUAUCUAAGAGGUUGAGGCUCUGCAAUGCUAUUAGAGUGGUGAACUUCAUGCAGUAAAAUCCACGGUGCCAAGGAGGACUCCAGGUUCCCCAAAUAUGGCUUGUACCCCAAAAUCAGGUUUGUAGAAGAGGUUGUUUUGAGUAAUAAACCACAAAGGCCAUCCCAGUGAAA
Long non-coding RNA from Pogoniulus pusillus (Red-fronted tinkerbird), 1384 nucleotides. RefSeq lists it as uncharacterized. NCBI's taxonomy places the organism in Eukaryota, Metazoa, Chordata, Aves, Piciformes, Lybiidae. The transcript is spliced from 2 exons. The record is from RefSeq and is a predicted model, not a curated record.